Long non-coding RNA from Uranotaenia lowii, 2779 nucleotides. RefSeq lists it as uncharacterized. The record is from RefSeq and is a predicted model, not a curated record. Lineage: Eukaryota; Metazoa; Arthropoda; Insecta; Diptera; Culicidae. The transcript is spliced from 4 exons.
AAAUUGAAUCAAUUACAGUUGAAUCUACUAUAUUUAUAGUUGAUUGCGUAAGGACAAUCAGCAGUUUGUUGUUGAACCUAUUAUAUUUAUAGUUGAAUGCGAAAAAAUCAACUACACCUUGAUGAUUGGUAUAAUUCUAGAGUUUGUUUUGAUUAGGUCGUAUGAGCCACUUGACGUGUUUCGAGAAAAUCGCUGUUGAAGUUUUGUGACACGUUUUUAAUUCUUAUAUUUAAAAUAUCGUUCCAAAUUGUCUGAAAAUUUCGUAUGCGAUGCACAGAGGAAUAAGAAAUACUCUUGUGCAUUAAAUAUAGGCAAUGAUUAAGUUGUUCAAGUGAACAUGUACAUACAACCUUUUACAUUGCCUAUGUGGUGGAAACGUCGUUUUGCAAGUUGAUAAUUUUUUUACUUGAAACAUGGUUUUAUUUGUCUUUAACUUCGUUGAUUCCGACUAACUGGCUUCUAGUACUAAAGAACUGCGAUUAAUACCCGAAUAGCCAAGACCAUGGUAUUAAUAUAAGAAAACAAUGAUUUUCAAUUGAACAAUAAACUUCAUCGUAAUAUCUAAAUAUUUAUCAACCGAUUUAAAUGAUGAAGUAACUGUGGUAUCGAUCAUAGCAAUCAGAAAACGAGAGAGUGAUUGAAUGUCAGUUGGAUUAUAGAACUACUUGGAAAUAGAUGAAUUAUCGGUACUAUCCAGCACAAUUCAAGUAUUCUAGUUAAGUAGUUCUUAAGGUUACAAUAUUGGCGACGAGAAUGAAAACUAAAAAAGAUCGAUCUCCGUAAUCGAUUUGGAUGGACGUUCAUAGGAUCGAUCCACCGUAAAAUUUGAAGCCUGAAAUCGCUCUUUGAUAGAUCGAUCUUCUAGGAAGAUCGGUUCUUACAAAAAAGAACGAUGUGGACAUUGAACUGCAAAAUGAAUAGAAACACUUGUUAGAAGGCAAGGCGAUGGUAGACUUUGUGGGUAAGUAAAGUUUAACAGAACUUAUGUUGUGUAGUUCUGGACAUAACCACGGUUUCGAUAUGAUGGGUCCGCCAGUGAAAAACAUGUGUAAGGCGGAUUCACUAUAUGGAAAGAGUAACAUUCAGGCGAGUUUGCCAUUUUUAAAAAAAGAACAUUUGGCGCUUUCGCCAUGGAAACAGAAAUGCGCGAGAAAAAAAUGGAAGAGAUUAGGCGGGUUCGCCAUUAAAAUAAAGAUAAGGCGGUUUCGCCAAUUUAAAAAAAAAAUGAUUAGGCGGAUUCGCCAUUGGAUGAAAACUGAUAAGGAGGUUCGUCAUUAAAAAAAAAGAGAGAAGGCGGGUUCGCCAUUAAAAAAAGAGAAGGCGGGUUCGCCAUUAAAAAAAGAGAAGGCGGGUUCGCCAUUAUAAACACGGAAAAAUUGAGUUAUUCAUGAAAUGUGUUACGAUUACACCUUCAAAAUAACUAAGCGGUUGUUGUUCAAAAAUUGUUUAAUCCCUAUUCAAUUUUGGGUAGUUUUGAAUGACCAAUAUACAAAAGUGAACUAAAAUUCGAUUAGUCAUGCUCUGUAUAAAAAGUUUGCUGUUGUUGGAAAGCUUUGGAAGGGGAUGCCAAAGCAAAAAAGCAAAUUCGGAAGCCAUGUUGAUUGCUGGUUGGAAGAUUGCUGAUAUAAAAAAAGAGUUUUAUUUGCAGUUUGAAGUUGAAAUUUGUCAACAAAAGUAGUUUAUUUAAACGGAAUGAAUGGUUCGUUUACUAAAAGUACUAUUUUCACUUUUCCGGUACGUUUAAACGUCGGAAACUACUAAAGCAAACCGGAUAAUUGUGAUAUGUGUUUGUAAAUUUGUGAAAAGACAAUAAUUGUUAUUUUGCUUGAGCAAUUAUCGCAUUAAAUGGUAAAUUUUGUUUCUUUCAGAUAUUUCGGCGUAAUGCAAUGUCAUACCACCUCCAAGCAAGGCAGCAAAAGUUAAGGUGGAGAUCGAAAAACCUAAAAAAAAGCGUAAACAUACAACCGAAUCAGCUAAUGGUACAGCAGCUCAAAAGCAAUGGAGACCUCCUAUCGGAUGAAGACAUGGACAAAUCUAUUCACGAUAUAAUAAAGGGGAUUAAAAAACGACCGGCGAGGACUAGUAUGACCUGCUUUUGUAUUCCUUCAAAAAGCAAUCGAAUUAUGACUAAAUUUUAUGGACCGGUUUGUGCAAGUUUUUUUUAGCGAAGGUGUUAUAAUUUUGGUUGUUUGAUUUGGUUGCCAAGCAUCAUUCAGCUAAGCCAAGCUAGAUAAUAAUUAAUAGUUGCAGUUCGGAAAUCUAAAGACAACGCACAUGACAACAAAAAGAAAUGUUUUAACAUUUUCAAAAUACCAGUGAAAAGGGAACAACCGAAAGAUUUCACCGGAAUAGGAUGGAUUUUAAUUGGUAGAGGACCGACUGGGGAAACCCUCCUACUUGGCAUUCCAAGCGUAUAAAAGACAAAAUUCACCUUUACUGCGGGACAUGUCCGGAUUUUGCUGUCGUAAUCGCCCUGGUACAUCCUCCGUAAUCUACAAAAUGCCUUCCCAGAGCCACCUAAAGCAAAAGCAUUGUUUCGAGAUUUUCGGGACGUCACUGGAAAGCUUUUGCUGCAAAAUACUGUACAAUAUACCGGAGGAUAGAUUAAGAUAAUAUAGGGCCAUGAAAUGUAACAAAAACGAGGAAGGAAGGAAAAUUUCCAUGCAGUAACAUUUGGCUGCAUUGCUAAAUCGCACAGAAGCCGAUUUCCUGUUAAAUGUUAUUUAUCUAUAUUAACAUGUGCCUGUAAACAAUAAAAAAAACUUAUAGCUUUUACGUA